Molecule: ribosomal RNA, 162 nt
Filed under: uncultured bacterium
Lineage: Bacteria
Description: partial 16S ribosomal RNA
Rfam family: Bacterial small subunit ribosomal RNA
Source: RNAcentral
UAGGGAAUUUUCGUCAAUGGGCGCGAGCCUGAACGAGCGAUGCCGCGUGAGUGAAGAAGGCCUUCGGGUCGUAAAGCUCUGUUGCGGGGGAAAAAAGGCAGCAUCAGGAAAUGGGUGCUGACUGAUGGUGCCCCGCCAGAAAGUCACGGCUAACUACGUGCC